RNAcentral lists this ribosomal RNA (456 nucleotides) under uncultured bacterium. RNAcentral's name for it is "SSU rRNA". It matches the Rfam family "Bacterial small subunit ribosomal RNA", at positions 26 to 518 of the family's 1533-position model. The record is from RNAcentral.
AGGAUGAACGCUGGCGGCGUGCCUAAUACAUGCAAGUCGAGCGGUAAGGCCCCUUCGGGGGUACACGAGCGGCGGACGGCUGAGUAACACGUAGGAACGUACCCCAAAGUGAGGGAUAAGCACCAGAAAUGGUGUCUAAUACCGCAUGUGCUCUUCGGAGGAAAGCUUCGGCGCUUUGGGAACGGCCUGCGCAUGAUUAGCUUGUUGGUGGGGUAACGGCCUACCAAGGCUACGACGGGUAGCUGGUCUGAGAGGACGACCAGCCACACUGGGACUGAGACACGGCCCAGACUCCUACGGGAGGCAGCAGUGGGAAUCUUGCGCAAUGGGCGAAAGCCUGACGCAGCAACGCCGCGUGAGGGAUGAAGGUCUUCGGGUUGUAAACCUCUUUCGAGCAGGGACGAUUGUGACGGUACCUGCAGAAGAAGCUCCGGCCAACUACGCGCCAGCAGCCGC